Molecule: long non-coding RNA, 670 nt
Filed under: Ananas comosus (pineapple)
Lineage: Eukaryota; Viridiplantae; Streptophyta; Magnoliopsida; Poales; Bromeliaceae
Description: long non-coding RNA (ACOM_LNC025049)
Source: RNAcentral
CUAUAGAGAGUCCAGCUAGAGUAUUUUUAAUAGUACCAAGCACCUAAUAUUAUUAAAUUUUUCAUCAUUAGAUUUAUCUUUUUGAUCAUUUUUAUCCGUUAAAUCAUAUUGUUUAACUAAUCAUCACUGAACCUUGUGGACUACUAUCAUUCUAACCGCACAUCUCUUCAUCCAACGUCCAAAAAUCUAAUAGCAUUAAUAACUUUGUGCUGUUAGAAGUAUUCUGGCUUACAUAUAUAUAUAUAUAUAUAUAUAGCAGGGCUAUUGUACUAUUAGGAGCACAACAGCCCUUAUGUUCCUAACUUUCUAACCAUCCAUCAAACUUCCCUCUCUCAUUUUAACCACCUAUCAAACUUUUCUCUCUCAUUUUAAUCACCCAUCAAACUUGAUGGAUAAUUAGAAAGUUAGAAGCACGAGGACUGAUGUGCUAUUAGUUUCAUGGGUGGUUAGAAGUACAGUAGCCCUGCUCUUUCUCUCUCUCUCUCUCUCUCUAUAUAUAUACAUAUAUAUAUAAAACUAGGCUGGAAUACUAUUAAUAAUACCAAUGACUUGGUGCUAUUAAGUUUUCUGCCCUUAGAUUAAAAGAUGUAUGGUUAGGAUGAUAUGGGCCUCCUAGGGUUGAGUGGGUACAUAGUUGGUUGGAUAGUAUAAUCGAACGGAUAAAAAUAAU